AUCCAGCUGACAAGUCGCAAAUAUGACGAAACACGCGUCUUGGAU
RNAcentral lists this non-coding RNA (45 nucleotides) under Schistosoma bovis. Lineage: Eukaryota; Metazoa; Platyhelminthes; Trematoda; Strigeidida; Schistosomatidae. The record is from RNAcentral. RNAcentral also lists the same sequence under 2 other names.